GAAAGCACUUUGGUACAGUGCCCUCUGGAGGCAAAGGUCUCAGGUUCGAAUCCUGACUUCCCCA
RNAcentral lists this transfer RNA (64 nucleotides) under Marinobacter salarius. RNAcentral's name for it is "tRNA-Gln". The record is from RNAcentral. Lineage: Bacteria; Pseudomonadati; Pseudomonadota; Gammaproteobacteria; Pseudomonadales; Marinobacteraceae.